CUAUACACCUUUUCACUGUAGCCUUCCUGGACGCCGCCAUAGCGCCAGAUAGCUCACCGCUAGCGACAUCUUGCGGCGGACCCAUCUUGGGCUGUUUGCUCUCCGGUCUUUCCGUCGAUACGCGUACAUUCGUCUCAUCGUACGUCCUCAAGUUCUCGUGUUCGUUUUGUGUAAGCUUUGCGGAGACGUUAGUUCGGUUUGUUUGUGAACCUCUGAGCUUACCUCACUAACAGGACGGUCGGCAUCGAGUGCUUUGCAAUUUGUGGUGUCUGUGCAUGAGUGGUGCGCGCUCCACGGCCGCGGUUACGUUCCGAUGGCCGGUGUUUCGUCUAAGGAGCCCGUGGACUUGGGAGGCGGCCGCAGUUAUGACCAUCCUUGCAUGGUGAAGAGAUGGCUGGACGACAUGCGAGAGUGGCCUGCUGCGAAUCAUCGGCACGGGGUUUAGAUCGGUGCGCUUGCCGUCAACAAAAUGCGCAGAACAUACACGUGAUGAAGGCAACGGCACAAAAUCUUUUCUGUUGACUGCGGCGACCCACUGUCUUUUCAAAUCGGCGUCAGCGGGAAACCGAUGCAGCAAAUACACGUUGCAUCCGCACACCUCUUGCAACACGUUGUGCGUGCCGCAGAGCUCUUUUCUUGCAGCGUUCCUCUUCUUCUGGUUAUAACUGCAGCCGUAAACAACGCAGUGAUGCCCUGUUGAUAAACUGUUCUUGAACGACAUUUCAAUGUUUCACAAAAACAGCAAAACAGCGCACGCAUUGAAGAGCCACCACAUAACGUGAACGGGGAACACGCUCCAGCAACAGCCCAGAGGAAGGAGGCGUUGCCCACAAGCCUGCUACUCUCGUCACCAGGCGGCAAAAAUCGGCUUGCGGCUCGCUGGUUCGAGAGUGCCGCUGGAAAAGUGUA
Molecule: long non-coding RNA, 909 nt
Organism: Dermacentor silvarum
Lineage: Eukaryota; Metazoa; Arthropoda; Arachnida; Ixodida; Ixodidae
Exons: 3
Source: RefSeq, a predicted model, not a curated record